RNAcentral lists this transfer RNA (65 nucleotides) under Glottidia pyramidata. Its description in RNAcentral is "tRNA-Met". Lineage: Eukaryota; Metazoa; Brachiopoda; Lingulata; Lingulida; Lingulidae. The record is from RNAcentral.
GGUUGAGUAGGUUAAGAAGACCUGUGGACUCAUAACCCGACAGUGCCGGUAAAUGGCCUCAACCU